Molecule: long non-coding RNA, 1461 nt
Filed under: Homo sapiens (human)
Lineage: Eukaryota; Metazoa; Chordata; Mammalia; Primates; Hominidae
Description: HSALNT0242562
Source: RNAcentral
UCCAAACUGCCAGGUACAGUGGACAACAGGCCAGGAGAGAAAAAUCCCUGGAGGGCAUGUGUGAAUUGGGAGAACUUAUUUUUCUUCCCUCUGCCCUAAGGCAAGAUAAAAAGGCCUGGAAAUAGGAGAUGAGAUGGUGGAAGGUAAAGCAAUGUAGGGAGGGCAUAGUAGCUCAAGGUCCUCCAAGUAACAAGGAAAAAACAGGGAAAGUGAAAGAAAAAUAUGAGAGAAUCCUCUGGAAAUUUAGGUGUAUCUGUAAAUGUGUGGACUAACAUGCUAUUUCUUUUUCUUAAGAGUCAGGCCAGCCCAGGUUGGAACGCAGUGGUGCGAUGAUACCUCACUGCAGCCUUGAACUCCUGGACUCAAGCAAUCCUCCCCACUCAGCUUCCCAAGUAACCGGGACUACAUGCAUGAGCCACUGCACCAAGCUCCCUACUGUGCUCUUUCUUGAUUAACAUUAGAAAUUGAGAGUCCUACCAAUGCCAUGCAUAGUACAAGACAUGGGCAGGACAAUAAAGAGAUGGCAGCAAGCAUUUCCAGACAAGAGAGGGCAGAAGCCCCCCUAGCAGCUUGCACCUGACACAGAGAAGACCCAGAAGGUAUCCGUGCUCAGUGGAGAGGGAGAUACACGGAAGGCGACAGUCUUGGUGGGCAUGCUUGACCAGGCAUUUCUAUGGCAAGCAGCAAAGUGACCCUGGAGUGGAAGACUUGAAGGCCAGCCUGCCCUAGCCCAAGAGGAUCCCAGCUACAGCCAGAAUCAAGCCCGAAGUUCCCCUAAAGAGAUUGCUAGUGUAUCCGGUGCGGUCCAGUCAGGAGACAGAAACCACGCCAGUUAUUUGAACAAGAAAGAAUGUAAAGAACUGCUCACUAGUUUGGAAAAUCCCCUUAGGAAGAUCUCCCAAGAGUCAGAAGGAAGUUCUAAAACUCAUUUGAGAUGAACCUCACCAUGAGGGUGGUGGGUGCAGGUACACUGUCAGAGAGCCAAGUACGCGUGGUCUGAGGGCCAGAAAUUUCCCUUGGGUGAAAGCAGGCAAAGGAGGCCUCUGAAAAUUGCUCAGAAGAAUCAGCACCUAGAGACACAGGAUUUCUUUAAAGUUGAAGUCUUUGUUGAAAGAUAUGCUUGGACUGAUGGAAAAUCCUCACCCAGCCCACCUGCUGAGGCAGAAGCCCAAGGAGACUGGCUGACGCAGCAAAGAAAGAAAUUAGGGGUACAAUGGACUCCCUGGUAGAAGCUGCAUGCUAUCAGGCUCGGGGGAGAUUCUAAGGAAAUGCAAUGCAGGACCUGGAGAGGAUAAUUGUAACGUGUAGUUAGACAUGUUCUGGAGAUGUUAUUACAAUACUGGCAGGGCCCUGAAGCAGAGGAGCGGGAACUGAUAGUCAGUCUCCCACUCCCUGCUUCAGAAGUCAGCAACUGCCUUGGAGCUUCAAAUGCCUCGGUCCCUGUGGCUGGCUGCCUACCUA